RNAcentral lists this long non-coding RNA (722 nucleotides) under Equus caballus (horse). RNAcentral's name for it is "lncRNA (ENSECAG00000030526.3)". The record is from RNAcentral. Lineage: Eukaryota; Metazoa; Chordata; Mammalia; Perissodactyla; Equidae.
CUUGCCCCGUAUGCUGUCGCCAGGCUGCAGCCGCCUGAGGGGACUCGUCCGGGGCCCCGCCCUCAGAGCUCACACCCGCCGUGCGCUCUCGCCCCGGGGCCGCCCCGCCGACCUCCCGCGCGGCUCUGCGCGCACAGGCCGGACGCUCGGAGCCGGCGCCGGGCCGCCCUGCUCGGCCUCCUGGGCGCAGCGGCGCCUCUGGACCGAGCACGCGCACCAGCGGCCUCCGCUCAGGCUCCGUGCCCGCGCACGCGCCCUCGCGUCGCGCUCCUGGCUGAGAGACCUGCGCUCGGGCUGGGCUCCGGGCGGUUCUCGCGUUGUCGUUCCACCGGGACUUCCGCGCUUCGGUGGCCUUUCGGACGAGCCGCCGCGCCCAGAGAUGUUCAGGUUGGAGCGACACUUCCCAGACGGCAGCGGUCACGCCAGCUCUUUGGCUUCCAUUCCGUUUUCGCGCGGUUCUCCCUCUUCGCAAGCUGCUUGGCUGCAAGAGGGAAGUAGGACAUUGAGCCCUAAAGGGAGAUUUCCAGCCAGGGGGCACCGAGUGAUGUCAUUCUGACUGCAGUCACCACUGUCGGGUUGUGAUUAAACUCUGAUGACCUAUGAGAGCACCGUGAUGAUCAGGAACAAGAUAAGGAUGUUACUCUCACCACUCUUAUUCAACAUAGUACUGGACAUCCUAGACAGAGCAAUUAGACAAGAAAAAGAAAUAAAAUACGUUCAAA